RNAcentral lists this ribosomal RNA (497 nucleotides) under uncultured bacterium. RNAcentral's name for it is "partial 16S ribosomal RNA". It matches the Rfam family "Bacterial small subunit ribosomal RNA", at positions 28 to 507 of the family's 1533-position model. The record is from RNAcentral.
GAUGAACGCUGGCGGCGUGCCUAAUACAUGCAAGUCGAGCGAACAGACGAGGAGCUUGCUCCUCUCACGUUUGCGGCGGACGGGUGAGUAACAUGUGGAUAAUCUACUUAUAAGACUGGGAUAAUCUCGGGAAACCGGAGCUAACACCGUAUAAUAUCCUGAUCCGCAUGGUUCAAUAGUGAAAGUCGGUUUUGGUGUAACUUAUAGAUGGAUCCGCGCUGCAUUAGAUAGUUGGUAAGGUAACGGCUUAUCACGGCGACGAUGCGUAGCCGACGUGAGAGGGUGAUAGGCCACACGGGAACUGAGACACGGUCCAGACUCCUACGGUAGGCAGCAGAAGGGAAUCUUCGGCAAUAGUCGAGAGCUUGACGGAGCAACGCCGCGUGAGUGAUGAAGGUCUUCGGAUCGUAAAACUCUGUUAUUAGUGAAGAACAAAUGUGUAAGUAACUAUGCACGUCUUGACGGUACCUAAUCAGAAAGCCACGGCUAACUACGUG